GGAUUCGAACCCGUGUGCCUCAGAGAGGCAGUAGGUCCCUCGCAGUAACGCUGGAAAGGUCUCGAGCCUA
This 70-nucleotide non-coding RNA is filed under the name Saccharolobus solfataricus. RNAcentral also lists the same sequence under 2 other names. Lineage: Archaea; Thermoproteati; Thermoproteota; Thermoprotei; Sulfolobales; Sulfolobaceae. The record is from RNAcentral.